GGUGAACGCUGGCGGCGUGCCUAAUACAUGCAGGUCGAGCGAACAGACGAGGAGCUUGCUCCUCUGACGUUAGCGGCGGACGGGUGAGUAACACGUGGAUAACCUACCUAUAAGACUGGGAUAACUUCGGGAAACCGGAGCUAAUACCGGAUAAUAUAUUGAACCGCAUGGUUCAAUAGUGAAAGACGGUUUUGCUGUCACUUAUAGAUGGAUCCGCGCCGCAUUAGCUAGUUGGUAAGGUAACGGCUUACCAAGGCAACGAUGCGUAGCCGACCUGAGAGGGUGAUCGGCCGCACUGGAACUGAGACACGGUCCAGACUCCUACGGGAGGCAGCAGUAGGGAAUCUUCCGCAAUGGGCGGAAGCCUGACGGAGCAACGCCGCGUGAGUGAUGAAGGUCUUCGGAUCGUAAAACUCUGUUAUUAGGGAAGAACAAAUGUGUAAGUAACUAUGCACGUCUUGACGGUACCUAAUCAGAAAGCCACGGCUAACUACGUG
RNAcentral lists this ribosomal RNA (497 nucleotides) under uncultured bacterium. RNAcentral describes it as "partial 16S ribosomal RNA". It matches the Rfam family "Bacterial small subunit ribosomal RNA", at positions 28 to 507 of the family's 1533-position model. The record is from RNAcentral.